RNAcentral lists this ribosomal RNA (412 nucleotides) under uncultured Sebacinaceae. RNAcentral's name for it is "eukaryotic LSU rRNA". The stretch from base 1 to 105 matches the Rfam family "5.8S ribosomal RNA", at positions 50 to 154 of the family's 154-position model. Lineage: Eukaryota; Fungi; Basidiomycota; Agaricomycetes; Sebacinales; Sebacinaceae. The record is from RNAcentral.
GAAAUGCGAUAAGUAAUGUGAAUUGCAGAAUUCAGUGAAUCAUCGAAUCUUUGAACGCACCUUGCACCCUUUGGUAUUCCGAAGGGUACACCCGUUUGAGUGUCAUUGUAAUCUCACUUCAACGACUUUAUUGUUGUUUGAAUGUGGACUUGGACGUCUGCCGUGUAACAAUGGCUCGUCUUAAAUGCCUGAGUGUACCCCGCUUUGCGGCGUAUUCGGUGUGAUAAACAUUUCACCGGAGUUUGGUCUUUAUUGACCGCGCUUUUAGCAAUUGGUGGGCUCUAUGCUUUCUAACCGUCUGCCUCUGUGGACAAUCUCUUGACAAUUUGACCUCAAAUCGGGUGGGACUACCCGCUGAACUUAAGCAUAUCAAUAAGCGGAGGAAAAAGAAACUAACAAGGAUUCCCCUAGU